AUAUGGAACUUUCUGGCAUGCCUACAUUACAUUAUAAAAAAUAAUAUGUGAUAAGAACCAAGAAUGGUAUAGACAUAAUAACUACUACAGGAAUGAAGAGACACCAAGGAAGAAAGUCAAAAGACGGAAAAGUUUUACUGAGGAGGUGUGAUAAAGGAAAGGGAUCCUGGAGCUAGCAUGGCCUCAUCCUCUCCUUCCAGGCCCACAUCCAGAGGCAGAAAACCUGUGCCACCACCAAUAGUGUCAUCUGAAGAGGUUGCCAAUGUGUCUAUUCCCAGGCAAGAUGCACCUAUAGAGCUUUCCCAAGAACCCCUCUCCUUUGCUCUGUCCCCAUCAAGUCUACAGGUUAAAGUGCACAGACAGAGAUCAGGUGAGACUAUGAUUGACCCUACGGAGAUGUGGCUGUGCCUGCGGGGAAGGAUUGAUCACGCUGAGCUACGGGUGGGUAGAAACAAUAAAAUGAGGCAGGGUAUAAAAUU
This is a non-coding RNA of Macaca mulatta (Rhesus monkey), 479 nucleotides long. Lineage: Eukaryota; Metazoa; Chordata; Mammalia; Primates; Cercopithecidae. The record is from RefSeq and is a predicted model, not a curated record.